This 253-nucleotide ribosomal RNA is filed under the name uncultured bacterium. Its description in RNAcentral is "partial 16S ribosomal RNA". It matches the Rfam family "Bacterial small subunit ribosomal RNA", at positions 524 to 776 of the family's 1533-position model. The record is from RNAcentral.
GACGAGGGAUCCUAGCGUUGUUCGGAAUCAUUGGGCGUAAAGGGUGUGUAGGCGGCCAUAUAAGUCAGUUGUGAAAGCCCCGGGCUCAACCCGGGAAGUGCUUCUGAUACUGUUUGGCUUGAGUACUGGAGAGGUGAGUAGAAUUCCAGGUGUAGUGGUGAAAUACGUAGAUAUCUGGAGGAAUACCGGUGGCGAAGGCGGCUCACUGGCCAUGUACUGACGCUGAAACACGAAAGCGUGGGGAUCAAACAGG